GGAAAUUUUGUUCUGAUUAAGCUUAAGAGCUCAAGUGUUGAAUCAAUUUACCUGUCAAUAGACAUCGAGUUUGCAUUGCUCUGUAUUGACCGUACUCCUGAGAUUUUAUAUAUUGAUGUCCGGAAUGCUUGUUCCCAUCUUUCCCUUUGGAGGCUGAAUCAGACUCCAUUAGUUGAAUACUUGAUAAUAAGCUUGCUGAUAACAUUAAUGUUCGGAGAAUACUGACUCCUUUGCUUCAUUUUCUUCUUGGAUUUAGAUAUCGUGUGAGAGCAUGAACCCUGGGCUUUGUUCUUUAUACCUAUCAUUUGACAAAAGACACACUUGAUUGAGGUUUAAAUGGCUCCACCUGUUCAAUUUUUAUAGGGUCAUUUAAUUAAUUAAGCCGAUACAUGCUCUAUUCCAAUGACAAAAACUCUAUAUGCAUCGGUAUAUUGAAGUCUUUUUUCUUGAGGUUUCCCUUGGUCAUUUUAUCAUGAUCAUUUCUUAUAUAUUACUUUCUUGCUAUUUGUCCUUGGCCGGAUAGUUUGAUGUCUCAGAUCAAGUCAAUGUUUGAUGAAUUGAAGUCAGAACAUGAGAAGGACAGGUAAAUUUUCAAAUCGCUACAUGCAUUUGUUAACUUUGCUUCGUUAUAAUGUUUAUAUCUAAUGAAUACGUUCUUUACGUAGUCAAUUUCUUGUGGAGUUACUUCAACAGAGUUUCAGAGUAAGUGAGGAAAAAUAUAAUAUUUUUAUUCUUUUGAACAAGGUUUACCUUGGUGAUGCAAUUUUUGCCGAGAGAGAAUUCACUCGAUGUAUUGAUGAUUUGCAGCCUGAAAGUAGUGUCAGCAUUGCAGACGUCAAGUUCCAUGAACUUAAUGAGAAGUUAUGUGAGGAUAAAGCUUCUCAUCAGCAAGCCCGUUUGCAGGCUUUAGAUGGUAACUUUAUUGGUUGCAAGUUGUUUAUAGGCAAAAACCAUGUACAUUGGGAUCUUAAUAAUACAAUGAAAAUGUAGAUAGAGAUAAGGUUUCGCAAUUUGAGAGAAUGCUUGAAAAACUGUAUAUUUCCCUUAUAAAUUAGUGUAACAUACGCACCUUCAUCUUAAUAGAAAUAUACCUAGUGACCAUGAUUGAGACUUCUUCGAGUUUUUUUUCCCAAUAGAAUGUUUUUGGCCAGUUUGAUCACAUAUUUGGUUAUGUUGGCCAUGUCCUUUCCCAUCAUAUUGUCAUUUGUUUGCUUCUAUAGAUAUUUUUUCCAAAUUUGAGGAGGCGAAGGAAAGGUUUAUCAUGCAAUAUGAUCAAAUAAGUGAGUUCAGAUUCUCUUCUAUUAAUUUCGAUCCCUUAGAACUGAAUCAAACUCGCCUAAUAUUUUAUUGCUAUCAUACUAAGUCUAUUACUUGCUUAUAACAGGUAAGAAGGAGAAGUCUAUGAUAUCUGCACUUGCUGAUAAGGUCGCCAAACUGGAUAAGUCCUUGAAAAUAGAAGAAGAGGCAAGUCAUUUGUUCAAAAUACGGGUUACAUUUUUUGAGUCAGUUCUGUGAAUGUGCACAAUAUGGGUACAUAUGGACCUUUUUUUCGGAAUGCAGAUUGAAGGAGAAUUCAAAACGUUGAUGCAGACACUUUGCUUAUAUCUGUGAACGCCUCAGGUUCCCACAUAUGGUAGUGCCCAAUAAAAUUGUGCUUGGAGCACAACACCAGACAUUCUUUCAUGUCUUUCGACAUGAAGAUUUUGAAUCUGGCGACAUGAAUGAGCUAUCAUCUCUUACUUUGCACUUCUACUGUCGGACAUGUAAUUAUGUAAUUAUGUAAUUAUGGUAGUGCCUAAUAUACUUCUGCCUGAAGCACAACACCAGACAUUCUUCCAGGUCUUUUAACAUGAAGAUUUAGGGCUAGACUUAGUUCUUGUUGCGAGGCAACUGAGCAAUGGUGGCGCGCACGUUUCUCCUUCUGUUGCUAGUGUGCCCUUUCUUUCCCAACAAGGAAUUAACUUGCUCUAUUAGCAUUAGAAAAUUGCGCUCAUAUUAGCCUAGCAUUCAUGAUAUGAACAACUGUACCAGUACCAUUUGCAGAGUAGAGAAGAUUAUGGCAACUGCCAGCUGCUCUAAGUUGUUCGAAUUAGCUAGAUGGGACAAUGGCGGCAUGUUAGGCCGUGCUGUGGGGUUAGACUAAUUUGAUAAAAUGAAAGGUGCACACAAUUUGUACUCUGUUGAGCUUGUUACUUGCUGUAGAAAUCCAAUCUUGUGCCUCCAUAACUGAAAAUUUUGUAUUCUUUUGCUGGCAAUAGUUAAACCUUAUGAGGACCCUGUAUGCUUUACCUGCAACUGAAGUAUUUCUUGUCGAGUACUAUGCAACUUCUGAACGGUCAGCUGAUUAUUUAAGCGGAAAUUCAACUAGUCGCAUCCUCCUCCUUUAUAUUAUAGGCAUUUAGUAGAAAUCUGCCAAGUGAAGAGAACACACUGAUUAGGAGGCGUCAAUGAGAGGUCUUCUUAGAUUCCAAUUUGGCAGCUCAACAGACCGAGAGAUAAAAUGUGAGCUGGGGAAAGCCAAAUACACUUUAGGAUGAACUCCCAGAUCUAUUCAUUACUUUGCUGAAUUGAAUGAAGUUCGAGGGAUCAAAAGUUACAGAUGUUGCGUUUAGGCAUAUGAAGGCGCCCAAUCAGAAAGGGGUUUGCAUCAAACUGGUUUGAUUAAUCACUUGCCACUCCAAGCGUCCCACCUCUUUACCUUCUUGCUUUACCUUGUUAAUUAUUUGCAUCGAGGUAUUAUUGACCUUUUUUUUUCCCAGACUGAUAAAGUGAUUGUCACGAAAUCCCCAAAAUUGCUUUCAAAUUUUUGGCAAAAUAAAAGCCCUUCAAGUGAACGUUAAAAUUAUUCGAUCACAAUGUAGUUGCGGUCAUUCUAUGGGUGAAACCUGCCUUAUUCAAGGAACGUGGAUAGGAUGAUCUGCACACAUUUGUCGCGCCUUAAGAAAAACAUAUAUUUUAUGUGCAUAAAGUUUUUGCAAGCGAAAUUGCCUAAUCAAUCAUAUAACAUAAUAUAGAAAUGUCGAUUUAGCAUUUUAACUUUUUAAUUUUAUCAAUUUAGUUCUAAAAUUUUGCUUACAAUUGUGAUGUAGCUCUUGAUCAACUUUCGCAACAUAGUGAUCUAGUUAUCAUUGCUAAGGAGAAUUACUAAAAAAAAAUUGAAUUUUUUUUUUAGCUAAUUCAAUUUUAAACAUUUUGUAUUUAUGUCAAUUCAAUCCAUACGAUCAAUUUUGAUUAGCAGGAACUGAUAUUAUUUUAAUAAUUUUUUUUUUAUUCUUUUUAAUCCCCUACCUCCCCCUCCCUUAGGGCUAGCAGGUUGCAUUAUUUAGGUGAAAGUGCAAAGUUCCUUGCCUAUAUAUAUGUAGGCAUUUAUUUUUCCUGUUGGGAAAAUUACUGCUUGAGGACCCCAUAAAAGCGUGUAGCAGCGAUUCUAUAGUCGUGAAUUGCACCCUUCACAUAUCACAGUAGACCUGUUCCUUGACGAAGAAACAGGCAUCGCAGUGGGUGAGUUGGAGGACGACAAAAAGGCAAAGUAGCAAUGAUAGGAAGGUGAUAGUGUUCGAAGAAUUCGUGAUCGCUUAUGGUUUGUGUUUGUUCUUUCACUUGAAAAGUAAAUGGAGAUUUUGAUUGUAGCAGGUCAAUUCUCUCGGAGAGAGCUCUUUCUUUAUAAAGCUAAAGAUGGGGAAUGAGAAAAUGUUUGCCUUUUGCAAGGGGAGAUUGAUAGGCGUUGAGGUGUUGAAAGUUGCAGCUAAAAGUCAUGAGGAAGUCAAUUUCUUCUGCAUUUAUAGAAAAUAUCGUGUACCUAGAGUGCCGGAAGAGAUUUUUGUAAAUCCGUUCAUUAGAAAACUCAGGCCAAUUCAUUUCAUUUUUAUUUACGAUGUAAAUGUCAAGUGUAACCCACUUUGUGCAAUGUUGCUUGAAUCGAACCCUGCACAGUAAACGAAUAUUUCCUACUUCUGGCUUCAGAAAAAUCGCAAACAGUGUUACGAACUUCUUUCUUUUUCCUCCCCGUCUCCACAGUAUACCUACUCCCUUUACCUACUCCAUUUACUCUCUCUCUCUCUCUCUCUCUCUCUCUCUCUCUCCUUUUACUCUUUCCCUCUUCUCUCACAUUUUUUCCUUCGAAGUAAAGAAUAAAAGGACCAUAUAUACUAUACAGAGGGAGCAACUCAUAAUGAUAUUCAAAGCUUGUUCAUGAUUUUUGUUCAAGUUAGGAUGGGGCUCAGUCAUGUACCAUGCCAGGUCCGGUAUAGUAACUUUGUGCAAAGUGGGUCAAGACUAGAAGGUGAAUAUGUAUCAUACAAAUGAGAGAAUAAAUGAAAAAGAAAUUCGAAGCCUCAUUUAUGGUUUAUGAAUAAAGUUAGAUGACGGGCAUAAUUAUGUCCUUUGCAGGUUCAGUCCAACCAAGUUUUUGUAAAGUGGAUCUCAUUUGAUAAUUACAUCUUAAAUUAGAAAAUGAAUUGAUUUGGCUUGUGUUGACAACCGAUAUUUUUUUCCUUCGAAAUAAAGAAUAAAAGGACCAUAUGUACUAUACAGAGGGAGCAACUCAUAAUGAUAUUCGAAGUUUGUUCAUGAUUUUCGUUCAAGUUAGGAUGGGGCUCAGUCAUGUACCAUGCUAGGUCCAGUAUAGUAACUUUGUGCAAAGUGGGUCAAGACUAGAAGGAGAAUACGUAUCAUACAAAUGAGAGAAGAAAUGAAAAAGAAAUUCGAAGCCUCAUUUGUGGUUUAUGAAUAAAGUUAGAUGACGGGCAUAAUUAUGUACUUUGCAGGUUCAGUCCAACCAAGUUUUUGUAAAGUGGAUCUCAUUUGAUAAUUACAUCUUUAAAAAAAAAAUGAAUUAAUUUGGCCUGUGCCAACAACCGAUAUUUUUUCCUUCGAAGUAAAGAAUAAAAGGACCAUAUGUACUAUACAGAGGGAGCAACUCAUAAUGAUAUUCGAAGCUUGUUCAUGAUUUUUGUUCAAGUUAGGAUGGGGCUCAGUCAUGUACCAUGCCAGGUCUGGUAUAGUAACUUUGUGCAAAGUGGGUCAAGACUAGAAGGAGAAUAUGUAUCAUACAAAUGAGAGAAGAAAUGAAAAAGAAAUUCAAAGCCUCGUUUGUGGUUUAUGAAUAAAGUUACAUGACGGGCAUAAUUAUGUACUUUGCAGGUUCAGUCCAACCAAGUUUUUGUAAAGUGGAUCUCAUUUGAUAAUUACAUCUUAAAUUAGAAAAUGAAUUGAUUUGGCUUGUGCUGACAACCGAUAUUUUUUCCUUUGAAAUAAAGAAUAAAAGGACCAUAUGUACUAUACAAAGGGAGCAACUCAUAAUGAUAUUCGAAGUUUGUUCAUGAUUUUUGUUCAAGUUAGGAUGGGGCUCAGUAAUGUACCAUGCUAGGUCCAGUAUAGUAACUUUGUGCAAAGUGGGUCAAGACUAGAAGGAGAAUAUGUAUCAUACAAAUGAGAGAAGAAAUGAAAAAGAAAUUCGAAGCCUCAUUUGUGGUUUAUGAAUAAAGUUAGAUGACGGGCAUAAUUAUGUACUUUGCAGGUUCAGUCCAACCAAGUUUUUGUAAAGUGGAUCUCAUUUGAUAAUUACAUCUUAAAUAAAUAAAAAAAAUGAAUUGAUUUGGCCUGUGCCGACAACCGAUAUUUUUUCCUUCGAAGUAAAGAAUAAAAGGACCAUAUGUACUAUACAGAGGAAGCAACUCAUAAUGAUAUUCGAAGCUUGUUCAUGAUUUUUGUUCAAGUUAGGAUGGGGCUUAGUCAUGUACCAUGCCGGGUCCGGUAUAGUAACUUUGUGCAAAGUGGGUCAAGACUAGAAGGAGAAUAUGUAUCAUACAAAUGAGAGAAGAACGAAAAAGAAAUUCGAAGCCUCGUUUGUGGUUUAUGAAUAAAGUUAGAUGACGGGCAUAAUUAUGAGGUUCAAUCCAACCAAGUUUUUGUAAAGUGGAUCUCAUUUGAUAAUUAUAUCUUAAAUAAGAAAAUGAAUUGAUUUGGCCUAUACCGACAACCGAUGAGUGAUUUGUGUAAAGAGGCACUCAAGGAAUACCGAAUAUUUUAUUGUGUAUUUAAUCUUAGAAAAGAGACACAGCAAUAAGAGUUCUAACAGACUAUCGUCUUACUUUGGCGAAGACGACAUUCCCAUUUCAGAGUUAUAAGAUGGAUGGCCAAAUCGCGAGAGUAGAUAUUGCUGAUUAUGAAUGGGAGCCGACAAGGGCCAGAUUGAGAGCACCAAAGUCGGUCAACGAAACCCGCCGCCAAGCAAAAUUCAAAUUUCAUUUGAAUCCAAAGCUACAGGCCGCCGCGGAAGAUGGAGACGUGGACAAGUUCAUCGAAGCCCUCAAAGCAUAUUCCCACAAAGUGGGUGUCUGCUUGUCCAGCAUUUUGGACAUGCGUGGCCCUUCUGGGAACACGUUGCUUCAUGUCGCAGCAGGUCUCAUGGCGGCCGACAUCCUCCAUGCUCUCCUCGAGGUCAUCCAUGACAACCAGCUCGCCACUAAGGUGAACUACCAAGGGGACACUGCACUACAUGUUGCGGCAAGAAAGGGCAGAAUCCGCACGGCCAAGCUCCUACUUAGGUACGACGGCAGUAUUCUAGACAUGGAAAACUACACAGGAAACACGGCAUUGCAUGAGGCUGUGAAGAACAGUUGCCACGACUUGACCCGCCUGCUCCUGCGCCAGGGCUCGAAAUCGGUGUAUAAGAAGAACAAGGGGGGCAAGUGCCCGCUGUACUUGGCAGUAGAGAUGGGGGACUUGGAUGGUCUCAAGUAUUUGAUGGAAAAUGUGGUAGGGCAGGUUAUUCCCUCCCAGAAUAAGGCAUGUCGCCGGUUCACGGAGCCGUGAUUCACAAAAAGAUAGGUUAGUGAUUAUACUGACGGUUCUCACUUGGGUAAAUUUAUUAGUCGGACUAUUUACAUUGUUUGUAUAUGCGUGUCUACUUUGGAUCCAUACUAGCCGUUCAACCUGUAACUCUCAUUCACAGUUUUUGAUCUUCUAGAAUUGUUUGACUUUGUCUAGAGAUUCCAUCGAUUAUUGAAAACUUCUCAUAAAUUUUGUCCCAAAAGAAAGCGGUUACGAUAUGUUUGGACUUGGGUCGUAGCAAGACUUACCCCCUAAAGAAUGUCAUCAACUGAAUACUUCAGUAGUCGAUACCCAUGGUAUAAGCCUUUGUAGAUACUAUACUACUUAUAUUAAUUGUCAAAGACCUUUUCUAAAACAGGAAGAGACCCAUGCCAUGCCUGUCCUUGAUUACUCCCGGUGUGGUAAACUACUUCUUGGAAAUGAAUGUCUCUAUAAUUGGAAGCAUUCUCUAAUGUCUAUACUGAUUUAUCCCCCAAAAGUAAGGAUUUCAAUUGUGUAGUCCAUGUAAUAUCGCAUAUUUGUUUUCUCUUAAGAAAAAUAUAAUUGUCAAAAGGUAAAGUCACUAGACCCUUGGUCAUGAGCAUGACACAAAUUCAUUCUUUUCCCGCUCUCUAACAAUGUAGAUAUGCUGAAAGAGAUGUCAGAGCAGAAUGAAGAUCUGUUUAAUUUAAAAGAUGCUGGAGGUGGUACUCCCCUUCAUCUGGCAGCAUUAAUGAAUUACGUUGAGGGAGUCAAUUUCUUGGUCGACAAGUUUGCUUGGAGCGCCUUUGAGUUUGACAAUGAGGGCUAUCUUCCGAUCCAUGUUGCAUGUAAGAUGGGUCAUGUCAGAACAAUGAGAAAGCUACUUCAACAUUGGCCAAAUCCGGAAGAGUUGCUAGAUCGCAAGGAAGGGCAAAAUAUACUCCACAUUUCGGCGAAGUAUGGAAAGGUUGACGUAGUGGGGUACAUACUCCUAAAGCGCAAGUUUGAGAAGCUUAUAAAUGCAAAAGACAGAGAAGGAAAUACGCCUCUACAUGUGGCCACAUUGCAGUUGCAAUACAUGGUUCUUUCGUGUCUUGUUCUUCACGAUAAAGUUGAUCUUAAGCUCAUAAACGACAACAACUUGACGGCUCUAGAUAUUGCGCUUGAGCUACCAAAAACACAUGGUCGACUACGUGAGGUAAUGGUAUCUACAGAAUGGAUUAACAAUUUAUCUGCUUUUGUUUUUCACUGUUGUUUUAGCUACUUCCUUUCUGGGAGAGACGAAAGGAAAUAGAGUCCAUUUUGACCCGAUAAACUCCCUCAGAAGUCAUCGACUGGAAUUAAGUUUGUACAGUAAGCUCAGAAAAGAAUGGCAUUUGCAAUCCUGUGUAUAGCUAGAGAUGAGUUUCAUUUUAUUUUAAUCCUAAAUCUUUGAUUAUUAGUCCAUUUCAUUGAUAAUAACGGUCAUUUUCUUUUUCUAUUACGCUUCACCAGAAAUUAAUAUACGGUAUCUUACGAACUGCUGGAGCAUCCAAAAGCGUUUACAAAGCAAUUUCCCAGCCAAAAGGCUUAGACACGGGGAGAGCUUUGGAGCCUGAGCAAUUGGAAAGACUGAAGGGUGUGGCCGAAACCCGUAUGGUCGUGGCGACACUCAUUGCUGCUAUGACAUUUGCUGCUGGGUUUUCCGUUCCUGGAGGAUAUAAUGGCUCUGGAUCAGAUGCAGGAUAUGCUACACUGUUGAAUAAACCCAUGUACGACGUCUUCGUGAUCUGCAACACCAUCAGCUUGUACAGCUCAUUAAUUGCCGUAGCAAUCCUUCAUUGGGCGGAGGGUGACAAGGUUCGUGUCCUUAAAUUUUCAAGUCCACCAGUGGUCACAGCUCUUGGCACAAUGACUGUGGCCUUCAUGGCGGGUGUCUAUGUGACCGUAAGCAAACGUACUUGGAUCGCCAUUGUUGCCUUGAUCGCUGGAAGCACUGCUCUCUUCAUUAUCUUGGGUCUUCACAUGGUCCUUACCCCUCAGUUUAUUUCCUAUCUCUGGAGAGUUGGCAUAUUGAUUGUUAAAAGGUUGAUCCAUAAAUUGCUCAAACCACGCCUCGGUCAACAAACUAGGCAGCAAGCCGCGACUGCCUGAGUACCCUCUUGAAGUCAUCGAAGGUCAUGUGGAUGGUGAAAGAGCGAUGGCGAGGAUUGAAAAACUGAGAAGACGUGCAUGAAAUUCUGUACCCUGUUAUGAAGCUAUAUUUGGCAUCCCUACGUCGGAGCCUAAGUUUUAUUUUAAGCGACUCUUUGCCAAAUAUAUUUGGCAUAUCAAUGGAGAGAUUUCACGUUAACUUUGGAACUUAAGUUUUAUUUUAAGUAGCUCUGUCAAAAACGGAUAUAUGUCUUGCCUUGAUAGGGAUGUAAUCUGACCAUGUCGGUUACUCUCGUGAUAGUAUUGGAUUGCACAUCCUUUGUCAGGAAACAUUAAUGUCGAUUUUUCUGGAUUAUUUUUUUAAACAAAUAAAUUUCUAGAUAUCAAAAAAAUAAUACUGGAUAAUAACAGAAGUGUCGAAUUACCUUCUAGUAGGAGAAUCAUAUACCCAUUAUUGUCGAAUUACCUUCUAGUAGGGGGAUCAUAUCCCAUUCACAUGAACAUAAACCUCAUCAUUCACAGGCUCCAAGGUGAACAAACAUGUUUGUAUCUACUUCUCCUUCUUGUCGCAGUUGGAUAUACACUUGUCAGGUUCCUCUCGCUUGAAAUGUAUGGCACAAAUUGCAUGAGGACAUCGUAUACCGGGUGUGUCCCUCGAUCUCCAAGGGCAAUUUUGCUUUUGCAUGUUAAUCACAAACUUGUUUGGUUUGUACUUCACUCCAUAACCUACUCUGUCAUUCCAAUCCACAUGGCAAUAAGUGCUUUCAGUUUCAGCCUUGCUUUCCUCUAAUUUCAUCAGGACUCGGGGGCAAUACUCUCCAUUCCAUCUAGCAGCAACUGACAUCUUCACUUGAAUUCUUCUCAUCCCAUGGAUUCUUAUGUACUCAAGCAUGGAUGUGGUGGCAAUGUUGUUGAGACGUGCCUUUGUGAUUCUUCCUUCAAUUCGCAUGAAUAUGUUUAGUGCAGAUUCCAUGUUCUGCCAGGGGUAAAAGCUCGUGGAUAGCUAGAAUUAAUCCCUGCAUAGAACAUAUCUGAGAACGAGACAUCAAAUUAAAUUCAUAGCAAAGAGGGAAAAAAGAGCAGAAGAUGCCCUUUGUUAUUAGGACAUUAAGGUCCAUCCCUUGUCUUUGCUUUCAAUUUCCAUCCCCAUAUCAUGCAUUAGAUUACGUAGAUACCACGACCAAGAAUCAUUUGUCUACCUACACAUAUUGCAUUGGAGAUUUUGCUGAUUUCUUUUUCCUUUCAUUGCCAAAGUGUCGGCAUAAAGGUAGUGUCUUGCAUGAACAAUCAUUCGUGUUUGAUUACUAAACACCUAAUGUUCAAAUAUAGAACAUCUAAACUAAUUAUUGGCGUUAAAUUCCACUAUUUUUCUGUAGACUGUUGUGAGUCUUCUAAAUAAAGGAGAAUAUUUGAGAAUCUAGUAAGUUUCAAAAGUACUUUGUGAUUUAGAAUCUAUCUAAUGUGCAGAAGCCUGGAAAUGUUUUUCUUUUCUUUCGAAAUGGGAAGAUACCAGCUUUUGGCGACAAAAGAAUUCAAUUACAAGGGCAAGUGUAUGUCCUCAACUAUUAUAGUAGCAACACAAAUUAAAUACAAUAAGAUCUUUAAUUUUCAUACUCUGGACUUGAUAUUCCAACUUUGAAAUUUUCCUAAUUUAAAAUUUUGCCACCAUACAAAAUGCUUAAGUUUACUCUACGGUGAUUACCGAAAAUAAGAAUUGUCUGUGCCUAACCUCAUGCACCACCUUAAUAAAGAAUGACAAACCGUUUUCUUUUUUGGUCGGUUAUGACAAACCGUUGUCAAAAAGUGCUUAAUUACCUACCUCAACUCUACUCAAUUUGAAUAAUGCAAAUAUCUAAUGAGUCAUUCUUUAAUUUUUUUUCGAGAACUAGUAGUGUUGAUCGAUGCUCGGAAAGUUAUCCAAUCAAUUCUAAACUUAUUGUAUAUAUGUCAAUUUAGUCAUAAACUUUUUAGUUUUGUCAAUUUAGUCUUAAACUUUUGUUUGAAAUUUCAAUAGUCUUUCUGGUCAAUUUUUGCUAUAAAUUACUAAUGUGAUAAUCCAAUUAUCACCAAUUGUCCUAUGCGGCACACGUUGUAUUAGUGAUUUCCAGCUAAAAUUGGCUGAAAUAACUAUAUUGAAAUUUUAUGCAAAUGCUUAGAAUUAAAUUAGUAAAAUUAAAAUGUAUAAGACUAAAUAGACAUUUGUAUAAUAGAUUAUGACCGAUCGAACAGUUUUUUCAUGGAUGUGGUACUGAAAGCGGCACUGCAUUAAGAAAAGACCCAAUUGGAAGAUACGUGGCGUUGCUUUAAAAAAGACCCGGUACUUCAACCGGAAAAAAAAAACAAACAAACAAAAGCUACAGAUCUCUCUCCCGUGCGUGCCAAAAUUAGAUGAACAAGAAGAUUACAAGUAAUCACCUCAGGAUAAAUAAAUAAAAAAAAAAAAAAACCACCUCAGGAUCAACGGAAACCUAAAGCAAAACAUAUAUAGGAAGUCAUAAGCAGUAAGGAUCGAGAUGGAGUCGAUGGAAUGACUAUAAAGAACGUGAAGAAAUUAAUGGGAAGAGGUGAAAAUCGUCGCAGAGCUUCAAUAUCUUAAAAUACUUUAAGAAGUGGAAGGAGAUGACACCCUCGACUAUGCUAGAACUUUCCGAAUUUUUGUUCGACUUUCCUUUUUUUUUCUGGGUCUGAUUUCGACUUUCCUUUUCAAUUUCACUUUUAGCUUUUUAUUUUUUUUAUUUUUUUUCACUUCUCCUCUCCCCUGUGCAUCUUGUCAAUAUGAUUUCCAUGUUUUACUAAAUGUCAUAAGUUUAGGGCCAUUAGAUUCCAGUUGGCUGUGAUUCCAAGUUCAAUUUAAAUUACAAUUUCAUUUUCGAUUGCAGCAGUUUAAUUUCAGUUUCACGCCUUAAUUUUCUUUAUUUUCAGUCGGCAGUAGCAUGGACAAUUUAUCCUAGUCAAAUUGCAGAUAUUUUGAUUAUUGGCCGUCCGUAAAUUUGAGCCCACUAAUUUCUAUAUUUUUUACUCCAAUGAACUAUAUUUUUGAACAACAAAAUUAGCCUCACAAAAACUUUAAAAACCCACGACACAAUAAAUAAAUAAAAAGGUCAAACUGAAAAACCAACUAGAUAAAUUCAAGUUACUAGGACAAAAUUAAUUAUAAUAAAACUUGAGAUUGAGUUCUCAAAAUUUCAUUUUGUGUGAUUGUGAUUUUGGUUCUCAUUAGCAUUGAAUUUACGUUACUAUACAUUCAAUUGAGCUAAAUCUGAAGGGUAUUUUUCAGUUAUAUCUUAUUAAUGUGUACUUCGAGUUAUUUAUUAAGCAACGACACAUACAAAAGUUUUAUGGAUUUCAUUGCACUAUUUCUGUAUUGUGUAAUGAAGGCAUUGAAAAUUGAAACAUUUUUUAUCAUGUAUAUUUAACUAGUGUCCCAUAGUCAGUCAUUCACAAAUAACAAGACUCGAGCUUUGGGAAAAAUUAUGUCAAUAAUGUAGUUGUGAUGUGUGAUCUAGUUCAAUCAUGCGCAAGAGCUAUGAUCUGAAUUGUUUUGCAAAAUUAUGUUUAGUGACUCUUAUGUGCAUGUAAUUUGCUGUCAUUGUGCGUGCGUUACGUUUAAAGGACGCCCUUAAGUUAGUUUUAGAGUAUUUGUACGGUUAGGUAACUAUGUUGUAACUUAGCUCAAUCGUGAAAUAUAUUCAACAAAAAUGAAGAUUGUGGAUCAAAUUUGUUUUUAAGUUAAAAAAUUAAAUGUCGAUGUUUACAAAUUUAUAGAUGAUCAAAACUUCAGAAUUCUGUAUAAAUUUUCCCGUUCAAAAACAAUUUAGCACUUUGCUUAUUGACCUCACUAAAAAACAAUCUUCGCUCUGCCACUGCUAGCCAAGUAGUUUAGUUUUCUUUAAAUUUUCAAGUAGUACUUACAUUGCUGUUAAUUAUUAUCUCAGAACACUUCUCUCAGGAGAUGACAUGCCUUUCGCAAAUCCAUCUUAAUUUGAGAAAGGCAGACUUGAUAAUACAAUCAUUUUGUGGUCGAAAAAGAAUUGCAUUUGUUCUUCUGAAUCGUCUGAAUAUUAAAUUCACGCCUUGUGCAAUUUCACAGCACCAAAAGUUCUUCAGGAAUUACUUGCUUAGAAUAGUCUGCACCAACGGUGUCCUUAAUAUGAAUCCAGUAGAAUGUUUAGGGAAGAACUCUGUAGUGGAUGUUUUCGAGCGCCAAAGAUUUUCUUUUUCGAAGAAAUGCCCUUGGCCACAAGAUGUUUACUGACAGCUAAAGAAGAAACCAUCUCCAAGUUGUGGCUGAGCAGUCAAUAUUGGAGAAGAGACACCGCGAAAGAGUUCAACAAACCGUCAUCUAGCUUCGGAGAAUACGAUAUUCAAGUUUCAGAGUUUAAGAUGGACGGUGAUCAGAGCAUAAAUAUUGGUGAUCAUGAAAUCUGGGAGCAGAGAAGGGCCAGAUCGAAAGCACUGGAGUCGGUGAAUGGAACACAACUUCAAGCAGAAUUCAAAUAACGUGUGUUUCUGCUGCUCCGCGCCGUUGUUAAAGUAGGCAAUGUCAACAAGUUCAUUGAGGCCCUUGAAAAGUAUUCUGCCAAAGAGAGGGUCUCUUUGUCCGACAUUAUGAACAUACAGGGUCCUUCCGGGAACUCAUUGUUUUGCGUCGCAGCGGGUAUCAAGAAUGCCGGCAUCCUCCGAGCCCUUCUCGAGGUCAUCCUUGACAAGUGGCUCGCAGCCGAGGCCAACUACCGAGGGGAACGCCGCACUCCGCGUCGCAACAAGAGUUGGCAGGAUCCGCUCGGCUGAGCUCCUCCUUGGCUGUGGCAGCAUUGUGCACAUGGCAAACGACGCGGGGAACACCACGUUGCAUGAGGCUGUGAAGAAUGGUUACUCCAAGUUGACCCGUUUGCUCCAGAGUCGAGGCUCAAGAGCGGUGUAUCCGGAGAACAAGGAGAGCAAAUCGCCACCGUACUUGGCAAUGGAGAUCGGAAACUUGGAGAUUCUCAAGCUUCUCAAGGAGGCGAUAGAUGAAAAUGAAAUCCCUUGGUCCAAGAUGCAAACGCAUCGUUUCUAUUGUUAAGUAGGACUAGCAGGUUGCAUCAUUUAGGUGAAAGUGCAAAGUUCCUUGCCUAUAUAUAUGUAGGCAUUUAUUUUUCCUGUUAGGAAAAUUACUGCCUGAGGACCCCAUAAAAGCGUGUAGCAGCGAUUCUAUAGUCGUGAAUUGCACCCUUCACAUAUCACAGUAGACCCGUUCCUUGACGAAGAAACAGGCAUCGCAGUGGGUGAGUUGGAGGACGGCAAAAAGGCAAAGUAGCAAUGAUAGGAAGGUGAUAGUGUUCGAAGAAUUCGUGAUCGCUUAUGGUUUGUGCUUGUUCUUUCACUUGAAAAGUAAAUGGAGAUUUUGAUUGUUGCAGGUCAAUUCUCUCGGAGAGAGCUCUUUCUUUAUAAAGCUAAAGAUGGGGAAUGAGAAAAUGUUUGCCUUUUGCAAGGGGAGAUUGAUAGGCGUUGAGGUGUUGAAAGUUGCAGCUAAAAGUCAUGAGGAAGUCAAUUUCUUCUGCAUUUAUAGAAAAUAUUGUGUACCUAGAGUGCCGGAAGAGAUUUUUGUAAAUCCGUUCAUUAGGAAACUCAGGCCAAUUCAUUUCAUUUUUAUUUACGAUGUAAAUGUCAGGUGUAACCCACUUUGUGCAAUGUUGCUUGAAUCGAACCCUGCACAGUAAACGAAUAUUUCCUACUUCUGGCUUCAGAAAAAUCGCAAACAGUGUUACGAACUUCUUUCUUUUUCCUCCCCCUCUCCACAGUAUACCUACUCCCUUUACCUACUCCAUUUACCCUCUCUCUCUCUCUCCUUUUACUCUUUCCCUCUUCUCUCACAUUUUUUCCUUCGAAGUAAAGAAUAAAAGGACCAUAUAUACUAUACAGAGGGAGCAACUCAUAAUGAUAUUCAAAGCUUGUUCAUGAUUUUUGUUCAAGUUAGGAUGGGGCUCAGUCAUGUACCAUGCCAGGUCCGGUAUAGUAACUUUGUGCAAAGUGGGUCAAGACUAGAAGGUGAAUAUGUAUCAUACAAAUGAGAGAAUAAAUGAAAAAGAAAUUCGAAGCCUCAUUUAUGGUUUAUGAAUAAAGUUAGAUGACGGGCAUAAUUAUGUCCUUUGCAGGUUCAGUCCAACCAAGUUUUUGUAAAGUGGAUCUCAUUUGAUAAUUACAUCUUAAAUUAGAAAAUGAAUUGAUUUGGCUUGUGUUGACAACCGAUAUUUUUUUCCUUCGAAAUAAAGAAUAAAAGGACCAUAUGUACUAUACAGAGGGAGCAACUCAUAAUGAUAUUCGAAGUUUGUUCAUGAUUUUCGUUCAAGUUAGGAUGGGGCUCAGUCAUGUACCAUGCUAGGUCCAGUAUAGUAACUUUGUGCAAAGUGGGUCAAGACUAGAAGGAGAAUACGUAUCAUACAAAUGAGAGAAGAAAUGAAAAAGAAAUUCGAAGCCUCAUUUGUGGUUUAUGAAUAAAGUUAGAUGACGGGCAUAAUUAUGUACUUUGCAGGUUCAGUCCAACCAAGUUUUUGUAAAGUGGAUCUCAUUUGAUAAUUACAUCUUUAAAAAAAAAAUGAAUUAAUUUGGCUGGGCCAACAACGAUAUUUUUUCUUUCGAAGUAAGAAUAAAAGGACAUAUGUACUAUACAAAGGGAGCAACUCAUAAUGAUAUUCGAAGUUUGUUCAUGAUUUUUGUUCAAGUUAGGAUGGGGCUCAGUAAUGUACCAUGCUAGGUCCAGUAUAGUAACUUUGUGCAAAGUGGGUCAAGACUAGAAGGAGAAUAUGUAUCAUACAAAUGAGAGAAGAAAUGAAAAAGAAAUUCGAAGCCUCAUUUGUGGUUUAUGAAUAAAGUUAGANNNNNNNNNNNNNNNNNNNNNNNNNNNNNNNNNNNNNNNNNNNNNNNNNNNNNNNNNNNNNNNNNNNNNNNNNNNNNNNNNNNNNNNNNNNNNNNNNNNNCUUUGCAGGUUCAGUCCAACCAAGUUUUUGUAAAGUGGAUCUCAUUUGAUAAUUACAUCUUAAAUAAAUAAAAAAAAUGAAUUGAUUUGGCUGUGCCGACAACCGAUAUUUUUCCUUCGAAGUAAAGAAUAAAAGGACCAUAUGUACUAUACAGAGGGAGCAACUCAUAAUGAUAUUCGAAGCUUGUUCAUGAUUUUUGUUCAAGUUAGGAUGGGGCUCAAUCAUGUACCAUGCCAGGUCCGGUAUAGUAACUUUGUGCAAAGUGGGUCAAGACUAGAAGGAGAAUAUGUAUCGUACAAAUGAGAGAAGAAACGAAAAAGAAAUUCGAAGCCUCAUUUGUGGUUUACGAAUAAAGUCAGAUGACGGGCAUAAUUAUGUACUUUGCAGGUUUAGUCCAACCAAGUUUUUGUAAAGUACAUCUCAUUUGAUAAUUACAUCUUAAAUAAGAAAAUGAAUUGAUUUGGCCUGCGCCGACAACCGAUAUUUUUUCCUUUGAAGUAAAGAAUAAAAGGACCAUAUGUACUAUACAGAGGGAGCAAUUCAUAAUGAUAUUCGAAGCUUGUUCAUGAUUUUUGUUCAAGUUAGGAUGGGGCUCAGUCAUGUACCAUGCCAGGUCCGAUAUAGUAACUUUGUGCAAAGUGGGUCAAGACUAGAAGGAGAAUAUGUAUCGUACAAAUGAGAGAAGAAACGAAAAAGAAAUUCGAAGCCUCGUUUGUGGUUUAUGAAUAAAGUUAGAUGACGGGCAUAAUUAUGUACUUUGCAAGUUCAGUCCAACCAAGUUUUUGUAAAGUGGAUCUCAUUUGAUAAUUACAUCUUAAAUUAAAAAAAUGAAUUGAUUUGGCCUGUGCCAACAACCGAUAUUUUUUCCUUCGAAGUAAAGAGUAAAAGGACCAUAUGUACUAUACAGAGGGAGCAACUCAUAAUGAUAUUCGAAGCUUGUUCAUGAUUUUUGUUCAAGUUAGGAUGGGGCUCAGUCAUGUACCAUGCCAGGUCUGGUAUAGUAACUUUGUGCAAAGUGGGUCAUGACUAGAAGGAGAAUAUGUAUCGUACAAAUGAGAGAAGAAAGGAAAAAGAAAUUCGAAGCCUCAUUUGUGGUUUACGAAUAAAGUCAGAUGACGAGCAUAAUUAUGUACUUUGCAGGUUCAAUCCAACCAAGUUUUUGUAAAGUAGAUCUCAUUUGAUAAUUAUAUCUUAAAUAAGAAAAUGAAUUGAUUUGGCCUAUGCCGACAACCGAUGAGUGAUUUGUGUAAAGAGGCACUCAAGGAAUACCGAAUAUUUUAUCGUGUAUUUAAUCUUAGAAAAGAGACACAGCAAUAAGAGUUCUAACAGACUAUCGUCUUACUUUGGCGAAGACGACAUUCGCAUUUCAGAGUUAUCAGAUGGAUAGCCAUAUCGCGAGAGUAGAUAUUGCUGAUUAUGAAUGGGAGCCGACAAGGGCCAGAUUGAGAGCACCAGAGUCGGUCAACGAAACCCGCCGCCAAGCAAAAUUCAAAUUUCAUUUGGAUCAAAAGCUACAGGCCGCCGCGGAAGAUGGAGACGUGGACAAGUUCAUCGAAGCCCUCAAAGCAUAUUCCCACAAAGUGGGUGUCUGCUUGUCCAGCAUUUUGGACAUGCGUGGCCCUUCUGGGAACACGUUGCUUCAUGUCGCAGCAGGUCUCAUGGCGGCCGACAUCCUCCAAGCCCUCCUCGAGGUCAUCCAUGACAACCAGCUCGCCACUAAGGUGAACUACCAAAGGGGACACUGCACUACACGUUGCGGCAAGAAAGGGCAGAAUCCCGCACGGCCAAGCUCCUACUUAGGUACGACGGCNNNNNNNNNNNNNNNNNNNNNNNNNNNNNNNNNNNNNNNNNNNNNNNNNNNNNNNNNNNNNNNNNNNNNNNNNNNNNNNNNNNNNNNNNNNNNNNNNNNNCGGCAUUGCAUGAGGCUGUGAAGAACCGUUGCCACGACUUGACCCGCCUGCUCCUGCGCCAGGGCUCGAAAUCGGUGUAUAAGAAGAACAAGGGGGGCAAGUGCCCGCUGUACUUGGCAGUAGAGAUGGGGGACUUGGCUGGUCUCAAGUAUUUGAUGGAAAAUGUGGUAGGGCAGGUUAUUCCCUCCCAGAAUGAAGACAUGUCGCCGGUUCACGGAGCCGUGAUUCACAAAAACAUAGGUUAGUGAUUAUACUGACGGUUCUCACUUGGGUAAAUUUAUUAGUCGGACUAUUUACAUUGUUUGUAUAUGCGUGUCUACUUUGGAUCCAUACUAGCCGUUCAACCUGUAACUCUCAUUCACAGUUUUUGAUCUUCUAGAAUUGUUUGACUUUGUCUAGAGAUUCCAUCGAUCAUUGAAAACUUCUCAUAAAUUUUGUCCCAAAAGAAAGCGGUUACGAUAUGUCUGGACUUGGGUCGUAGCAAGACUUACCCCCUAAAGAAUGUCAUCAAUUGAAUACUUCAGUAGUCGAUACCCAUGGUAUAAGCCUUUGUAGAUACUAUACUACUUAUAUUAAUUGUCAAAGACCUUUUCUAAAACAGGAAGAGAAUCAUGCCAUGCCUGUCCUUGAUUACUCCCGGUGUGAGAAACUACUUCUUGGAAAUGAAUGUCUCUAUAAUUGGAAGCAUUCUCUAAUGUCUAUACUGAUUUAUCCCCCAAAAGUAAGGAUUUAAAUUGUGUAGUCCAUGUAAUAUCGCAUAUUUGUUUUCUCUUAAGAAAAAUAUAAUUGUCAAAAGGUAAAGUCACUAGACCCUUGGUCAUGAGCAUGCCACAAAUUCAUUCUUUUCCCGCUCUCUAACAAUGUAGGUAUGCUGAAAGAGAUGUCAGAGCAGAAUGAAGAUCUGUUUAAUUUAAAAGACGCUGGAGGUGGUACUCCCCUGCAUCUGGCAGCAUUAAUGAAUUACGUUGAGGGAGUCAAUUUCUUGGUCGACAAGUUUGCUUGGAGCGCCUUUGAGUUUGACAAUGAGGGCUAUCUUCCGAUCCAUGUUGCAUGUAAGAUGGGUCAUGUCAGAACAACGAGAAAGCUAUUUCAACAUUGGCCAAAUCCGGAAGAGUUGCUAGAUCGCAAGGAAGGGCAAAAUAUACUUCACAUUGCGGCGAAGUAUGGAAACUUUGACGUAGUGGGGUACAUACUCUUAAAGCCCGAGGUUGAGAAGCUUAUAAAUGCAAAAGACAGAGAAGGAAAUACGCCUCUACAUGUGGCCACAUUGCAGUUGCAAUACAUGGUUCUUUCGUGUCUUGUUCUUCACGAUAAAGUUAAUCUUAAGCUCAUAAACGACAACAACUUGACGGCUCUAGAUAUUGCGCAUGCUCAACCAAAAACACAUGGUCGACUACGUGAGGUAAUGGUAUCUACAGAAUGGAUUAACAAUUUAUCUGCUUUUGUUUUUCACUGUUGUUUUAGCUACUUCCUUUCUGGGAGAGACGAAAGGAAAUAGAGUCCAUUUUGACCCGAUAAACUCCCUCAGAAGUCAUCGACUGGAAUUAAGUUUGUACAGUAAGCUCAGAAAAGAAUGGCAUUUGCAAUCCUGUGUAUAGCUAGAGAUGAGUUUCAUUUUAUUUUAAUCCUAAAUCUUUGAGUCCAUUUCAUUGAUAAUAACGGUCAUUUUCUUUUUCUAUUACGCUUCACCAGAGAUUAAUAUACGGUAUCUUACUAACUGCUGGAGCAUCCAAAAGCGUUUACAAAGCAAUUUCCCAGCCAAAAGGCUUAGACACGGGGAGAGCUUUGGAGCCUGAGCAAUUGGAAAGACUGAAGGGCAUGGUCGACACCCGUAUGGUCGUGGCGACACUCAUUGCUGCUAUGACAUUUGCUGCUGGGUUUUCCGUUCCUGGAGGAUAUAAUGGCUCUGGAUCAGAUGCAGGAUAUGCUACACUGUUGAAUAAACCCAUGUACGACGUCUUUGUGGUCUGCAACACCAUCAGCUUUUACAGCUCAUUAAUUGCCGUAGCAAUCCUUCAUUGGGCGGAGGGUGACCUGGUUAGUGUCCUUAACCUUUCAAGGCCACCAGUGGUCACAGCUCUUGGCACAAUGUCUGUGGCCUUCAUGGCGGGUGUCUAUGUGACCGUAAGCAAACGUACUUGGAUGGCCAUUGUUGCUUUGAUCUCUGGAAUCACUGCCCUCUUCGUUAUCUUGGGUCUUCACAUUGUCCUUACCCGUCAGUUUCUCUUCAAACUCUGGACAAUUGGCAUAUUGAUUGUUAGAAGGUUGAUCCGUAAAUUGCUCGAACCACGCCUUGGUCAACAAACUAGGCAGCAAGCCGCGACUGCCUGAGUACCCUCUUGAAGUCAUCGAAGGUCAUGUGGAUGGUGAAAGAGCGAUGGCGAGGAUUGAAAAACUGAGAAGAUGUGCAUGAAAAUCUGUACCCUGUUAUGAAGCUAUAUUUGGCAUCCCUACGUCGGAGCCUAAGUUUAUUUUAAGCGACUCUUUGCCAAAUAUAUUUGGCAUAUCAAUGGAGAGAUUUCACGUUAACUUUGGAACUUAAGUUUUAUUUUAAGUAGCUCUGUCAAAAACGGAUAUAUGUCUUGCCUUGAUAGGGAUGUAAUCUGACCAUGUCGGUUACUCUCGUGAUAGUAUUGGAUUGCACAUCCUUUGUCAGGAAACAUUAAUGUCGAUUUUUCUGGAUUAUUUUUUUAAACAAAUAACUUUCUAGAUAUCAAAAAAAUAAUACUGGAUGAUGACAGAAGUGUCGAAUUACCUUCUAGUAGGGGAAUCAUAUGCCCAUUAUUCUCGAAUUACCUUCUAGUAGGGGAUCAUAUACCCAAUAUAUGUGUGUUCACGUGAACAUAAACCUCACCAUUCACAGGCUCCAAGGUGAACAAACAUGUUUGUAUCUACUUCUCCUUCUUGUCGCAGUUGGAUAUACACUUGUCAGGUUCCUCUCGCUUGAAAUGUAUGGCACAAAUUGCAUGAGAACAUCGUAUACCGGGUGUGUCCCUCGAUCUCCGGGUGUGUCCCUCUUUUGCAUGUUAAUCACAAACUUGUUUGGUUUGUACUUCACUCCAUAACCUACUCUGUCAUUCCAAUCCACAUGGCAAUAAGUGCUUUCAGUUUCAGCCUUGCUUUCCUCUAAUUUCAUCAGGACUCGGGGGCAAUACUCUCCAUUCCAUCUAGCAGCAACUGACAUCUUCACUUGAAUUCUUCUCAUCCCAUGGAUUCUUAUGUCCUCAAGCAUGGAUAUGGUGGCAAUGUUGUUGAGACGUGCCUUUGUGAUUCUUCCUUCAGUUCGCAUGAAUAUGUUUAGUGCAGAUUCUAUGUUCUGCCAGGGGUAAAAGCUCGUGGAUAGCUAGAAUUAAUCCCUGCAUAGAACAUAUCUGAGAACGAGACAUCAAAUUAAAUUCAUAGCAAAGAGGGAAAAAAGAGAAGAAGAUGCCCUUUGUUAUUAGGAUAUUAAGGUCCAUCCCUUGUCUUUGCUUUCAAUUUCCAUCCCCAUAUCAUGCAUAAGAUUACGUAGAUACCACGAUCUAGAAUCCUUUGUCUACCUACACAUAUUGCAUUGGAGAUUUUGCUGAUUUCUUUUUCCUUUCAUUGCCAAAGUGUCGGCAAAAAGGUAGUGUCUUGCAUGAACAAUCAUUCGUGUUUGAUUACUAAACACCUAAUGUUCAAAUAUAGAACAUCUAAACUAAUUAUUGGCGUUAAAUUCCACUAUUUUUCUGUAGACUGUUGUGAGUCUUCUAAAUAAAAGAGAAUAUUUGAGAAUCUAAUAAGUUUCAAAAGUACUUUGUGAUUUAGAAUCUAUCUAAUGUGCAGAAGCCUGGAAAUGCUUUUCUUUUCUUUCGAAAUGGGAAGAUACCAGUUUCUGGUGACAAAAGAAUUCAAUUACAAGGGCAAGUGUAUGUCCUCAACUAUUAUAGUAGCAACACAAAUUAAAUACAAUAAGAUCUUUUAAUUUUGAUACUCUGGACUUGAUAUUCCAACUUUGAAAUUUUCCUAAUUUAAAAUUUUGCCACCAUACAAAAUGCUUAAGUUUACUCUACGGUGAUUACCGAAAAUAAGACUUGUCUGUGCCUAACCUCAUGCACCACCUUAAUAAAGAAUGACAAACCGUUUUCUUUUUUGGUCGGUUAUGACAAACCGUUGUCAAAAAGUGCUUAAUUACCUACCUCAACUCUACUCAAUUUGAAUAAUGCAAAUAUCUAACGAGUCAUUCUUUAAUUUUUUUUCAAGAGCUAGUAGUGUUGAUCGAUUCUGGGAAAAUUAUCCAAUCAGUUCUAAACUUAUUGUAUAGAUGUCAGUUUAAUCAUAAACUUUUUAAUUUUGUUAAUUUAGUCUUAAACUUUUGUGUGAAAUUUCAAUAUAGUCUUUCCGGUCAAUUUUUGCUAGAAAUUACUAAUGCGAUAAUCCAAUUAUCGCCAAUUGUCCUACGUGGCAUACGUUGCAUUAGUGAUUUCCAGCGAAAAUUAGCCGAAAUGACUAUAUUAGAAUUUUAUGCAAAUGUUUAGAAUUAAAUUGGUAAAAUUAGAAUGUAUAAGACUAAAUUGAUAUUCGUAUAAUAGAUUUAUGAAUGAUUGAACAGUUUCUUCAUUGAUGUGGUACUGAAAGCGGCAUUGCAUAAAGAAAAGACCCAACUGGAAGAUAUGCGGCGUUGUUUUAAAAAAGACCCGGUACUUCAACCAAAAGAAAAGAAAAGAAAAGAAAAACAAACAAACCAAAGCUACAGAUCUCUCUCCCGUGCGCACCAAAAUUAAAUGAACAAGAGGAUUACAAGUAACCACCUCAGGAUCAACGGAAACCUAAAGCAAAACAUAUAUAGAAAGUCAUAAGCAGUAAGGAUCGAGAUGGAGUCGAUGGAAUGACUAUAAAGAACGUGAAGAAAUUAAUGGGAAGAGGUGAAAAUCGUCGCAGAGCUUCAAUAUCUUAAAAUACUUUAAGAAGUGGAAGAAGAUGACACCCUCAACUAUGCUAGAACUUUCCCGAAUUUUUGUUCGACUUUCCUUUUUUUUUUCUGGGUCUGAUUUCGACUUUCCUUUUCAAUUGCACUUUUAGCUUUUUAUUUUUUACUUUUUUCACUUCUCCUCUCCCUGUGCAUCCUGUCAAUAUGAUUUCCAUGUUUUACUAAAUGUCAUAAGUUGAGGGCCAUUAGAUUCCAGUUGGCUGUGAUUCCAAGUUCAAUUCAAAUUACAAUUUCAUUUUCGAUUGCAGCAGUUUAAUUUCAGUUUCACGCUUUAAUUUUCUUUAUUUUCAGUCGGCAGUAGCAUGGACAAUUUAUCCUAGUCAAAUUGCAGAUAUUUUGAUAUGGCCGUCCGUAAAUUUGAGCCCGCUAAUUUCUAUGUUUUUUACUCCAAUGAACUAUAUUUUUUUAACAACAAAAUUAGCCUCACAAAAACUUUAAAAACCACGACACGAUAAAAAGAAGAAGAAGGUCAAACUUAAAAACCAACUAGAUAAAUUCAAGUUACUAGGAGAAAAUUAAUUAUAAUAAAACUUGAAAUUGAGUUCUCAAAAUUUCAUUUUGUGUGAUUGUGAUUUUGGUUCUCAUUAGCAUUGAAUUUACGUUACUAUACAUUCAAUUGAUCUAAAUCUGAAGGGUAUUUUUCAGUUAUAUCUUAUUAAUGAGUACUUCGAGUUAUUUAUUAAGCAACGACACAUACAAAAGUUUUAUGGAUUUCAUUGCACUAUUUCUGUAUUGUGUAAUGAAGGCAUUGAAAAUUGAAACAUUUUUUUAUCAUGUAUAACAAGAUAAAAAUUGUGGUGUGUGGCCUAGUUCAAAUAACAAGACUCGAGCUUUGGGCAACGUUAUGUCAAUAAUGUAAUUGUGGUGUGUGAUCUAGUUCAAUCAUGCGCAAGAGCUAUGAUCAGAAUUGUUUUGCAAAAUUAUGUUUAGUGACUCUUAUGUGCAUAUAAUUUGCUGUCAUUGUGCGUGCGUUACGUUUAAAGGACGCCCUUAAGUUAGUGUUAGAGUAUUUGUACGGUUAGGCAACUAGUAUGUUGUAACUUAGCUCAAUCGGGAAAUAUAUUCAACAAAAAUGAAGAUUGUGGAUCAAUUUUUUUUUAAGUUAAAAAAUUAAAUGUCGAUGUUUACAAAUUUAUAGAUGAUCAAAACUUCAUCAAAACUUCAGAAUUCUGUAUAAAUUUUCCCGUUCAAAAACGGCUUAUUGACCUCACUAAAAAACAAUCUUCGCUCUGCCACUGCUAGCCAAGUAGUUUAGUUUUCUUUAAAUUUUCAAGCAGUACUUACAUUGCUGUUAAUUAUUAUCUCAGAACACUUCUCUCAGGAGAUGACAUGCCUUUCGCAAAUCCAUCUUAAUUUGAGAAAGACAGACUUGAUAAUACAAUCAUUUUGUGGUCGAAACAGAAUUGCAUUUGUUCUUCCGAAUCGUCUGAAUAUUAAAUUCACGCCUUGUGCAAUUUCACAGCACCAAUAGUUCUUCAGGAAUUACUUGCUUAGAAUGGUCUGCACCAACGAUGUUCUUAACAUGAAUCCAGUAGAAUGUUUAGGGAAGAACUCUGCAGUGGAUGUUUUCGAGCGCCAAAGAUUUUCUUUUUCGAAGAAAUGCUCUUGGCCACAAGAUGUUUACUGACAGCUAAAGAAGAAACUAUCUCCAAGUUGUGGGUGAGCAGUCAAUAUUGGAGAAGAGACACCGCGAAAGAGUUCAACAAACCGUCAUCUAGCUUCGGAGAAUACGAUAUUUAAGUUUCAGAGUUUUAAGAUGGACGGUGAUCAUGUGAGCAUAAAUUUUGGUGAUCAUGAAAUCUGGGAGCAGAGAAGGGCCAGAUCGAAAGCACUAGAGUCGGUGAAUGGAACACAACUUCAAGCAGAAUUCAAAUAACGUGUGUUUCUGCUGCUCCGCGCCGUUGUUAAAGUAGGCAUUGUCAACAAGUUCAUUUGAGGCCCCUGAAAAGUAUUCUACCAAAGAGAGGGUCUCUUUGUCCGACAUUAUGAACAUACAGGGUCCUUCCGGGAACUCAUUGUUUUGCAUCGCAGCGGGUAUCGAGAAUGCCGGCAUCCUCCGAGCCCUUCUCGAGGUCAUCCUUGACAAGUGGCUCGCAGCCUAGGCCAACUACCGAGGGGAUGCCGCACUCCACGUCGCAACAAGAGUUGGCAGGAUCCGCUCGGCUGAGCUCCUCCUUGGCUGUGGCAGCAUUGUGCACACGGCAAACGACGCGGGGAACACCACGUUGCAUGAGGCUGUGAAGAAUGGUUACUCCAAGUUGACCCGUUUGCUCCAGAGUCGAGGCUCAAGAGCGGUGUAUCCGGAGAACAAGGAGAGCAAAUGCCCACCGUACUUGGCAAUGGAGAUCGGAAACUUGGAGAUUCUCAAGCUUCUCAAGGAGGCGAUAGAUGAAAAUGAAGUCCCUUGGUCCAAGAUGCAAGGCAUGUCCCCGGUUCGCGGAGCCAUGGGGUACUAGAGGUUUGGUCAGUGAUCGUACUUAUGGCUCUCACUAUGGUACAUUCAUCAUUCCGACCGUACAAAUUUACGGGUGUGUCUAUUUUAGGUCCGUCCCAGCUACUAAACCUUUAGGUCUCACGCACAUUUUUUGUUUUUCUAUUAGAAUGGUUUCACUUUAUCUAGAGCCUGGAUCAACAAUUGAAAGUUUCCCAUAAAUUUCGGCCCAGAAGAAGGCUGGUAAGAUAUCUUUGGACUUGGGUCAUGGCAAAACUUACCCCCUUUCCAGUUAAACAGCUGAUAUACAAGAAAGGCCAUUGUUUCAGUUGUACUGAAUAAUCAUGUAUGUAAAAUUAGAGGUGUUAAAUCCCAUUUAUGGACCCAUUUCUAGUUAAAUGAGUCAUUAAUGGGUCAAGCCUCAUUUCUCAAAACACCCAUAAUGAGUUUUGAUAUUAAAUAAGCUGAUAUAUAUGGAUUUUAAAUGGGUCUGUUCUCAGUGAAGCUGAAAUUACCUGGAAUCACGAAAUAUGUAAAUCUAAGCACCAAUAUAGCCAGUUCUACAGUAGGAUUCUUACAACAAGCUGAAAAACAUUAUUGAACAUUCAAUAUUGCAAAUAGACGGAUGACACUAAAAACCCACCUUCUGGACAUGUUUGAAAAGCAAUACCAAUAUAAUGAACUUUGAGCAUUCAACAUUUUAAACACCAAAACAACCAAAUUGGAUUUGAAAGAUAGCAAAUCGCCUUAUCAGCAAAUCAACCUAACUAAAUCCUUUUUUUUCUCACACUCCCCCCAAGAAAAAAAAUCUCCUGUUUUGCAGCAUGACCACGUGAAACAAAAGAAAACACAUUUGACAACAGGAAAGGUGAAAUCACCUCAGCAGGCCAGAGCACAUUACAUAUAUCAGUCCAUUACAAUGUGUCAGUAUAUCACGUUUCAGCUUUCUUAGACAUAACAAAUCUAAAAUUUAAGCCAAUCCAAUCUCAUGGCUAUAUUUUACUUAUGUUAUGAUCACAUUAUGAUGAGAAUUGCAUAAACACAUCUACCUUUUAUAUAUUUGGGCCAAGUACCAUAUGGCCGUAUUUGAGCAAAACAAACCCAUUAAGCCAAUGUGAAAGGCAAGUACCAUUGCAUUCGUUUUGCGAUCAUCCAAUGAUACUUACAUCUAAUUUCCAAAUGCAUGUUCCACCUAUCUACAUCAUUAGGAGUUAAUUCCAUUAGAACAAUGUCAAUCAUAGACAAGAACCCUUGUUGACACCUAAUUUAAAUUCAUUUUUAGAAAUAAAAGAUAAUAUUUGAUUAUAAAGGGAAAUUUUGAAAAAAAACUUCGAAUUCAAAAAUGCAACAAUCGUGUGAUUUUGGAGCCACUUUUUUGUUGAAAAGUUGAGUGAAUAUGUGCAAUUAUAUCGGAAAAUCUUCACCUGCAAAAACAAACUCGAGUCUGUCGCGACCCAAUUUUUUGGGUUAUGAACCACCUAGAGUUUGGCUAAUGGAUUGUUAAGCCUAAACUUAACUCGGGCUCUCCCAAGCCCAUACCAAUUCGUGACUUAGGUUUGAAUUCUUAACAUGCAAAUUGAUUUUAUUUAGGAGUCGCCACUAAUCAGUUUAUGGUAGGUCGAUUAGACACCUAAGUAAAAUAAUAUGAGAAUUACGUUACUCCUACGAACCAGAGACUAGGGUACGGGGACUUGAUUACAUUAGAUUUCUCUAAUGCCCUUUCGGUACCAUUCUUUUUAUUUUCAAAAAUGUUUGGCAAUUGAAUUGCUUUUAAACUAACUUCCUAACAUGUGAGGUGAUCAUACAUGUGCGCAUACCACCAAUUUAACACUCAAGAAAGCAAUUAAAUAUUGCAAAACAUACCUAGGAGCAACGAAAGCAUCUGCAUUGUUAAAUCAGAAUUCACAUCAGCAGCCCUAGAUAUGAUUUCUAAUUAACACGCAAUUUCAAUUUUUGUUUUCAUUUUAUUUAAUGAAAAUCAUGACUUAUGCAAUGCAUCUAAGAUGACAUGGCAGCAUGACCUAAACUAUAUGACAUGAAGAAAUGCAAUAAUUAAAUGCCAUCUAAAUGACCUAAUUCUAAUGACAUGCAAUGCGAUGCAAUGACAUACAAAAUUAUUUAAACUAAGAUGACAUGCCGCAGAUAAUUUAGCACGCGAGUUAUAUGUCAUGCGACAUUUAUUAAAUGAUUUAGUCUAAUUACAAGUAAGUUCUAAUUAAAUGAACCUACAUGACAUGCAUUUGAUAUUUCUAUUUAAAAAUGCAAAAAUGAUCUAGCUAGAUUAAAAUUCUAUCAUAUUUAAACUAAGGAUUAAGUCACAUUAAAUCAUAAUUUAAACUAAGAUAUUAUCUUAAUCUAACAUGUAAUUGAUCGAAUAUGCAAUGACAUGCGGAGCAAGCCCUAAUUCUACAUGACAUAUGCAUGAGAGUUUUUAUCUUUUAUUUUUUUAUUUAAAAUUCAAAAUUUAAAAUUACCACGUAAUUAAACACGCAACUAAAAUCUUAAAUUAAUGCAUUUUUUAUUGUUUUUCGAACUAAAAUCCCUAUCCUAGCUAUGCAAGAUAACAAGAAAUAUUCUAAAACAAACUGAAUCCUAAUUCAAUUUUUUUGGAUUUUUUAGUGAUUCACCGAAACAAACCAUUAUCAACUAAACAGUAAAUCUAAACAAUCAAGAUAUGCAAUCAAAUAAAUGAUCAAAAUAACCGAAAAAAUAACCUGUUGUCUCACAUGUCAAAUUAACGAUUAUCUUAACCCUAAUUAUCACAACAAAGAGUUCAAAAUAACUAAAAUCUGAUCUGAAUUCUUACGGAUCAAAUUAAUAGUUAUAUUGAUUCAACACUUAAAAUACUAUCGACAAAUCCCAGAAAUUAUUAUAAUAAAAAAAAUUAUCCGAAUUCUUACGGAUCAAAUUAGUAAUUACAAUAAUUCUAGGGAAUAUUAUGUGGAUAAUGCCUACAAAAUCCAUAAAAUAAAGAUCACCCCAAAACAUAAAACAAAUAGAAAAAUAGAAAUAAAACUACCUAAUUUCUUUUCCUUUUUCUUCCUGCUUUCUUCACCCACGGCCGAACGGCUUCGGUGGAUCGCCGGAGGUUGGGUCGCCGGCGUUCAGAGCUCCGGCGAGGACCGGCAAUGGGUAGAUCGGUAGCGAGCAGUCUGGCGGCAGCAGCAGGUCGCGGGUGGCGUCGGGACGAGCUCGCGGGUGCAGAGGGAUUCCGGCGGCGUGGUGGGCGGAUCGCGGACAGGGCAAGGGAAGCAGCGUCGUCGCGGAUCAGCUCGGCGGUGGCUUCGUCGGGUUAGUGGAGCGGUUCAGCAGCAGCGUCGGAAUCGUGGGUCGGCGCGGGGCAGUGAAGAUUGACUCCGGCAAGGGACUUCGGCGAAACAGGGCACCGGCGAGGGGGGUGUCGCAGGGCGCGGGGCCUGCUGUCGGGCACCGAGGAGACGCGAGCAACAACGAUGUGGGCUCUGGCGGCGUUGGGUCGCGGCAGGAAUAGCGGCACAACGUCAGGCGAGCGGCGCGGCGGAGAGGCAGGUGCGGGUGAGUGGGGCGGAGCACGUGGAUUGGCGAGGCAGCAACAGAAACCUGGCUAAAAGCGCCGGCGACAGGGCCGGCGUGGGUGCUCGCGGACGGACACUCCAAAAGGAGGGUGAGCGGUGAGGGCUCCGGUGUCGUCGGAUCUCGGCUGAAAACGAAAUUGCAGAAGCGGGGCAGCGAUUUGGGGAAGAUGAUGAACAGUAAAGGUCAAAUCAACCUUUACCGUUUCGGCCGCUUCCCCCUCAAACUCACUUCUCUUUUUUACUUUUUCCUUGUGUACUUUCUGCAGGAAAUUUUUUUUCUCUUUCUCCUUUCUUUUCUGAAUUUUUUCUCUAGAGAAGCCCCCUAUCUCCACGGGCCAAUUCCAUAAAAAAGCACGAACUUUAGGGUUUAGGACAAAUCUGGCCCGAACUUUAUUUUGUCUCGAAAAAAAGCACCAACUUUCACUCGUGUCCCAAAUCUGGCCUGCCGUUAACUCUCCUUCACGAUCAUCCAACUUGGCAUUUCCACGUCAGAUAAUUCUUCUCCUCCUUCUAACUCCUCGGUAAAAUUCUCCGACGAGACCGUCACCUCUCUCCCUCUCUCCCUCUCUAAUUUCAGAUAAAUAAACGCCAUUCUCCAUCUCUGUUCAUCCAGCUCUCUCUUCCUUCUCCGAGCUUCACUCUUUUCGAGCUCGUACAGCAGAACGAGAGCGCAACCCUAGAAAAAGGAAAAACGAAGAAAAUGAAGCGAGUGUAUGCAAAUCUCGCCCUCUUAUCUCUCUUGUCCAUCUCCUUCAGCUUCUUCCUCCCGACCGCCUUCUCUAGGACGAAAUUGACCUCUCCCACCGCGACCCUCGAUGUCUUCGGCUCGCUCCAGAACACCCGGGGAGUCCUCUCCUUCGAUCCUCAGUCCCAGACAUCCUUCUCCGAGCAAGAGCAGCGUCAGGAACAGACGUCGUCGGGCUCAUUCUCCGUCCGACUCCACUCGAGGGAGUCCCUCGUGAGAACCCCAUACAGGGAAUACAAGGCCCUCGUCCUGGCCCGGCUCGGCCGCGACUCGGCCCGGGUCGGUGAUUUCGUGACGGAGAUGGUGUCGUUCAGCGACUCCGGGGCUGUCAACAACGUCGCUCUGGGAUGCGGGCACGACAACGAGGGGCUCUUCAUGGGCUCGGUGGGCCUGCUCGGGCUGGGCGGCGGCCCCCUGUCCCUGACGAAACAGGUAAAGGCGAGCUCCUUCUCGUACUGCCUGGUGGACCGCGACUCCUCUGAGUCGUCGACCCUGGAUUUCAACUCGGCCGCGCCCGGCGCCGAGUCGGUGUUCGCCCCACUGGUGAAGAACGGCAAGGUGGACACGUUCUACUACGUGGGGCUAACGGGGAUGAGCGUGGGAGGGGAGAUGGUGUCGAUCCCGCCGUCGCUGUUCCAGAUGGACGAGUCCGGCGACGGCGGGAUCAUCGUCGACUCGGGGACGGCAUCUUCAACGCCACGGGCCGAGCCGGAAUCGUCGGAUCCCGAAUCGGAAUCAGAAUCGGAAUCGCAGGCCGACGAGCGCGCGGCCGCGGCGGGGGCGACGCCGGAGCCUCCGGCGAUGUAGAAGGGCGAGGGGAAGGUGGGGUUGAUGUACCACUCGAAGAGGAAGCCGGGUUCUAGGGUUUCGGGAUCUUCGGGCGGGGGCGCCAUCGGGCGGGGGGCAAAUUGGCUGAUCGGAAUCCGCUCCCCGGAAUUCCCUCUGGACGGAGGAUGGCCACGAGAAAAUCACGAGGCAGCGGCCAUUGACGGACUCCUCUCGUUCGUCAGUGAUCCAGCCAUUGAUGUUCUUCUGGUUCAGGAGGCGUUCUCAUGUGGAGGGAGGGAGGAUAGGCAGGGGAGGGGCAGGAGACGUUUUCGGAUCCGGUCGGAUGACCGUGAAGAAGAGUUAACGGCAGGCCAGAUUUGGGACACGAGUGAAAGUUGGUGCUUUUUUUCGAGACAAAAUAAAGUUCGGGCCAGAUUUGUCCCAAACCCUAAAGUUCGUGCUUUUUUAUGGAAUUGGCCCCUAUCUCCACAUACCUGAUUGCUUUUUAUAGGUGAAAAUAGGUAAUCUUCGUAGAAUAUUUUAUCUCGUUUUUUCAAUAUACACGAAGAUAAUCUAUAACCUCCCGAUCACCCAAAAUCUUCUUAUUUUCCUAAUCUCAUGAAUAUCUCUAAUGAUUUUAUUGCCUAUUGAUAAAGAUGAGAUUGCAAUGCGGUUUUCUCAAUCUUAAAAAAAAAUCAUCAAUAUUGCAUCAAAUUUCAAUUUUUCACAAGAUAAUUGAUUUAAAAAAAACAAUGGGCUUGGGCUAAUUUGCUCAUUUCACGGGCUUAGUCCGACUUGUCAAUUUAAGCUCAGAAACAUUAAUUCGAACCCAUCCACCAAUGCUCCAAUAAAUAAAAAAUGCAAAAUAUGCAAACUAAAUGUACCUAAAUUUAUAUACUGUGCAAUUAAUAUUUUUUUCCCUAAUUUUUGUGCUAUAAAUAACUAAAUGGGUUAUCAAAAUUUAGGUGUCAACAGAGCCUUUCCUCAAUAAAUAAAGAAUGCAAAGCUUCGGUUAAGGGGGUUCUCUUCGUCUUCGUCGAAAGAAAAAAGAAUGCAAAAGUGAAAAGUCAAAAAGUGGAGAGAGGGAAGGGCUUCUUUUCGCCAAAAAAAAUUGAAAAGUGAAAAAAGAUAAAACAGAGAAGAGGGUUUCAGUUUUUGAGGAAAAAAGAAGAAAAGUCAAAAGAGAAAGGGAAGAAAGUGAGGAAGUGACCGGUCAUUGGGAAGGAAAAGAGAAAGAAAAACAAAGAAAAAAGUUGACAAGACCCCUACUGUUGACCUUCUUCCCCCCAUCCGCAUCUGCUCGGCCAAUCAUCCGCUUCUGCUCUACACGGCGUCGCCGCUCGUCCGCCACCGCACCACCAUCGUGCGAACACCGCCGUAGCAGCAAGCCCGAGCCGAUCGCCGCCAGUAGCUGCCACGUCCCCUGCUCGACUCCUCCACGCUCGCGACCACCGCGCGCCUCCAGCCCGAGAUCCAACCACACUGCCGUGUGUUGGAGAAAUCUUUCCAGAAUAUUUUGAAGCUGACAAAACAUUUCUAUCAGUCUAGUCUGGAUAUCAUUGGUUUAAAGUCUCAAGACUUUGUAAUCUCAAGACUCAAGACUCAAGACUCAAGACUCAAGAUUAUUCUCACUGACAGUCUUUCUAAUCCAGUGGAGUAGGAUAUCCGAAGCCGAAGUAUAUGGUUGGGGAUUUGAUCCAAUCCUCUGGAAUAGAUCCCUUGGUUGGAUAAUCAUUUCGGAUUCUUUGAUUCUUAUCUAAGAUCAAUUGAAGAUCUGAUGGUCGACGAAACAUUCUUGGAAUGUUCUAUUCUUGGAAACCAAAAUCCUGAUUGUAUGGGCGAACAGGAUUGAUGGGCUAUCAUCAGAUUCCUUAAAUAGCUCGGAUGAUCUUCUUAAUUGAUUCCGUCCAACGGGUAGAUUGGAGGAAUUCCUUUGGUAAGUGCCAACGGCUAUGAUGGCAUAAAGGAGUAUAAAAGGAAGACGUUCUAGUUGUUUUAAGUGUGUGAUCGAUAGAUAAAUUCCAGAGUCUGAAGAACCUUGAUUGUUAGUCGAUACAGUUCGAGCGAAAUUGUAUACACAGAGAGUGUUUGUACUUGGUGAUACCUUGAGCGAGUGUAGUAGAUCAUCUACAUCGAGAAAUCAAGGAAGAUCAACACUGUAACAUCUCUUUGUUCAUAGUGGAAUCCAGCCAAUCGGCUGUCAGUGCAGAAGAGUGGACGUAGGCUUGAAUCAAGCCGAACCACUAUAAAUCUCGUGUUUAAUUCUCUCUUUUCUUUACUCAGUCUUACGAUUGAUUUUUUAAUCCUUCAUCUGUCUAAGUAUUGCGCAAACUGCAAGAAAAUUUUCAUAAACCUAUUCACCCCCCUCUAGGUACUCGUACUAGUAUUUUCACCGUGUCCCGCCGAGCACUUUUGCUGCCGAGCUUCCCCUUGCCGCCCUUCGACCCAGCAACCAAGCGACGCCAACAGGUCCCUAACCGGCGUCGCGCCUUCCUUUGCCAUUGACGCCAGCAGCCGCACCGUCUCCGCCCGAGCACCAGCACCCGUGAGCUUGCUGCCGACGCCACUGCACCUCCGCACAGCGACCCUCCUGCCCGCUACUGAUCUGCCUGCCGUCGCCCUCUCACCGGCGUCCCCCGCAACCGACGAACGCACCGCACGACCUGCUGCUGUCCUUGCUGCGCCAUCAGCUACUGCCGAGGCGAUCCCCUGUUUUGCUGCAGGUCUACCUCGCCGGACCUCCGACGGACAGCCCCAGCUCCGGCCACCAGGACCCAUCACCCUUGGCGAACCACCAUCGCAGCUCAGCCAUUACUGCUUCCUCGCCAUUUCUUCAAGUCCACCUUGAGUUAGACUCGGUAAAUUUUUAGAUAUUUGGUUUCAUGGUUUAUUUAUUUAUUUAUUUAUUAUUUUCAUUCCAACUUGAUUUGUUUUGAUUUAUUAUCCAACAAAAUUUGUCAUAUUAAAACAUGAUAAUAAAAAAUAUUAAGCCGCGAGACAUCAGGUUAAAUUUUUGAUUAAUUCGACUUUUUUAUGACAAAUUUAUGAAUUGCUUUGCAUCAUUGAAAUAAUAUGUCAUUGAUUUAUAUUGAUGAAGUUUCAAUAGAACAUAUUUUGGUGUGUUAUUUGCACAUCACAUAUCAUAUCAUGUGUCAUAUCUUGAAUUUAAAUACUUAGGUCCAUAUGCAUUUCAUAUUUAAAGCUUUGCAUUUUGAUUUUUUAGAUUCAUAUAGGAUUAGGUUAAUUUUCCUUUAAUAAAACAAAAAAGAACAAAAAAAUGUUAUUUAGGUUAUAUAGAUUUCAUAAUAUGCAUACCACAAGUUGCGCUUUAGUUAGAGGGUCAUAGGUUAAUGCUUUAAUAUUCUCGUCAUGUAGUUGUUUUUUAAAUAAAAAGCCAAAUAUUAGUAUUGCAUCAUUAUGUUAUUUUUUUUUUAAGAAUUAUUAAGUCAUUUUUUUUUUAAAAAAGAAGAAAACACAAAAGUCAUUUAUUUGGUUAGUUAAUAAGUUAGUUCAUAAUUAAUCCCAUUUCAUGUCAUCAUUGUUAGUGUAGGUUGCAUAUAUGUAAUAAAAAAAUUAUUAAAAAAUCAUAAAAAGAACAUGCAUAUAGAAUUACCACGUCAUACAUCCAAUAUCAUAUAGCACAUGCAUAUUUAGGAUUAUGUAAAUUAGAUUGCACACAUAUUGUAAUGAUUUAAAUUAUGUCACAUGAAUUGCAUCUCAUAUGUCAUUAAAGUAAAACUCAUGUAUAUCAAAUUUAGAUUAAGAUUGCAUAUAAUUAACAUUUAAAAAGAAAAAGAAAAAUUAAGUGUCAUGUUAUUUAGAAAUCAUGUUUAGGGCAUGUAUUUUGAUUAGCAUUUUUGUAAGUUUUCUUUAGAGAGUGGACCUUAAUCAAGUUGUAGUUUAUAAUUUCUUACAAUUUAUCACUUCAGUCGAUUAAAUGUUAUUUCAUUGAUUGUGCACCCGCAUGACCACCCUUUGCAUGUUAGUAGCUUAAGUUAAAAUUAAUCAAUACUGCUUGCAAAAUAAUUUUUUAAAUUAAAAUGAUAAGAUACUGAAAGGGCGUUAGAUUUUUCUAGCGUAACCAUGUCCCCGGAUCUAUUGAAUCUCUGGUUUACAAAAGUAAAGUAUUCUUACAUAUUUUACUUGAGUUUCUAACCAACCCUAAUUGGUUAGUAGCGGCUCCAAAUUGAGUAUAAUUGCAUGUUUAAAUGAGUUAAUUUCUUAGUGUCAAGUCGCGAUCGGUACAACUUUGGAGGGUUUGUGCCAAGUUUUCGGACUUAGUAAUCCAAUAGCAUUCUUUGAGUAAUUCACCCUCAGAAAAGUCGCGACAACCCUAGAUGGAAUUCCUUCAAUAAAAUUGACUGAAAGGAAAUAUAUUAUCGAAAAGCCAAGCCAUAUAAUGCACUCAUACAGAAAAAUGGCAUAUUUUGUCAAUGAGCAAUUCAGCAUGGCUUUUAUACCACGGACUCUAUUUCAAUUUCAUCUAUAAUAGCAAUAAUAAAUAGUACCAAUGAGAAAUCACAUGCCAAAGAAAAAUCAUGUGAUUGGCUCCAUCAUUCAUCUCUACAUAUAAACUACAAUCUCUUAGGCGUCAAUCAUUUAGAAACUUGCAUACAAUGGUUUGAUGACCCUCUCUACUUAUUCAGCAACUACUGUUAUAUGUAGUCUUGCCUGAUAAACACUCUCCUGGGUCGUAUACAUGAGCUGUUACAGAGACAGGAUGAAGAGGCAUUUGUUGCCUCCUAGUGAAGCAAUAUAAAAUUACAUCCUCCUACCAAAUGAGCAAAGCAUACAACUUAUCAAUCACCUUCUUUUGCUGCCAGACAAAUUAAUCAUCUUGGAGAGGAAGGUAAAUCGAAAUCAGUUGUAACUUCACAUAAAUAAUCAUAACCAUGUCUUACCAUUGCUCGUGAUAUAAUCAAAUGACUCGAGAGCUUCGGAGGUUUUCCUGUAGAUGUUUAGUUAUAAGACAUGCACAAGUGAUUGUUAACCCAUUUGUAGUUAGAACAAAAUGAGCACAAUCAUCAACUCUUUAGCAUUAUUGAAAGUUUCUAGACUUAGACUACUGCUUAAAGGACACAGGUGAAGCCCCAUUUGAUCUGGUUGUAUUGACACCUAAAUUUUGGUGACCCAGUUAUUUAUUUAUUGCAUUUAAAAAUUAGGGAUUAAUUUUUUAACCCCUAAAAAAAUUAUUAUUUAAUUAAUUGCAUAGCAUAUAAUUUUGGGUGCAUUUACAUUGGAUUGGUGACGGAUAGGUUCGACUUGGUGGUUUUAAACUUUAAUUUGGCAAGCUUGCGAAUAGAACAAAUUGGCCCAAGCUCAUAUCCUCGAGGAGAUUUUGCGGACUCAUCUUUGCAAGACUUCAGAUCUGAGAAACAUCCUAUUGCAAUUUUGAAAAAUCGGUGAAGAAUAUUCAUUUUUGCAAAGGAAAUCUAGAGGAGAUGGUGGAAAAUAAAAAGUAAUAUUGCGUGCGGAAAAGAAAUCUUGUGGAUAUUAAUUUGAAGAAUAAUAUAAAAACCUAAUCAUUGACCUAUAAAAUGGUUGUUCGCGUAGAGUUUUGAGGGGGUCACACAUUGAAUAUAUGGCCGCACAAGAGGGGUUCUAUUUUUUGGGAUCGUUCUUGGUCUCGAGGUUAAAAAUUCAGCACAAAAAAAAAAACUUUUCUUCUUUCUUUCUUUUCGUAGGGGGGUUUCAUUUUUGUUUUUUUUUAGGGGUUUCUUUUCUUUCGGGGGUGAAAGAAAACAAAAGUUGGGUUUCUGCAUAAGGGUAGUUUAUGAAUUUGGAGUUUUUUUUUUUAUGAUAUUAACUCAAAUAAAAAUUAGUAAUUAGUGUACAUUUUAUUAUUAUUUAAUGUAAACAAAAAUAAAAAUUAAAUUAAAUAACAAAGAUACAUUCGGUGAGUGGACUCUGCACGUUUGUACCAUAAUCUAUCUAGGAGUCUGCAAAGUUAUGAUGGUGCCGACUUUCAAUCUUGUUUUGUAGCCUCUAAAGUAAGCUCAAAAAGGAAAUUUUCAAUUUUGUCUUGAUGCUGCUUCUCCCCCCUUUUCUCAUCAAUGAAUUAGCAAAAGACAAUUUCAGGUCUUAGUACCGAUACCGAUAGAUCUAAGAAUUUUAGAUUUAUAUGUUUUUGGUCAAUAAAUGAGUCAUUCGAUCUGCAAGUUUUUUUCUUUGAGAUUAUUUUGUAAUUAUUCCAUUCUUGUUCAAUACAAAAAAAAAAAAUGUUGUCUUAGCAUUUUUAAACAUUUCUUGUUUUAUUCUUAAUAUAAUUAAAUUUCAUCUUUAAAAGUUUCAUAGUCAAUAAGGUAGCCUGUGAUGUUAUUUUGGAAAAUCUUUAAAGAUGGAAGUGAAAGUUCAUAAACAAGUGACUAUGUGAAAAAAAAUUAUUUAUGUUAUAUAUAUAUAUAUUUUUAUAGAUUACACUUGAUUAUUGAUUCAUAAAUUUACUUGACAACAUGUAAAAGAAUUAAGUUUCUUGGAAAUUUCUCUUUUCCACGAAACUAACUUCUAUGAAAGUAAAAGCUAACAAUAAAAAUAAAAGGGAAACCCGCAAUUGAAAAAAAAAGGACAUCCAAUUUUUUUAAUUAUGCAAGUAAAUCCCACGUAAAAAUGAAAAAGCUAAAAAGAGGAAAGUAACAAAUAUGGGGGGCAUCACUUCAAAUUGUAAUUGAAUUACUGGGGAUAAUUUUGUCUUUUUCAUGUUGGAUGAUUUUUUUUUUUUUAAUGUUGUUGGGUGAAUUUAGACGGACAUANNNNNNNNNNNNNNNNNNNNNNNNNNNNNNNNNNNNNNNNNNNNNNNNNNNNNNNNNNNNNNNNNNNNNNNNNNNNNNNNNNNNNNNNNNNNNNNNNNNNNNNNNNNNNNNNNNNNNNNNNNNNUCUCUGCCAAAUAUGGAGAGAAAGGCGAGCGAAGUGGGUUCUGAUGAUAUCUCCGGUGAAUCGAUCGAGGCGUAAGUUCUGAAGUAAUUUCUGUUUUUGCACUCUGGAUUUGAAAUCUGACGUGAAAAUUUGAAGUGUGCAGUCUUAUGAGCCGGUUAAAGUCCAUGGUAGAGCAAAAUGGGAAGUUCUAUAAGAAGAACGUAGAGUGUAUAUCGAGGUGAUUCAACUUGUUAUGCCUUUAUCUUUUGCUUGAUAUUCAUCCAAUAGAUUGAGCUCUCGGUGGGGUUUAUUUCCCUGAUGGGUUGAUUUUCUUCCGAUGGAUUGAGUCUUUAUUUCGCCGACAGGUUGCAGUUUGUGAAAGUCCCAGUUCUGUACCCCGUUCACACUAUUUCUCAUACAAUCUAGUCUCUUUUCCGAAGCCAAGUUCGCAGAAAGUUUGUAUCUUUAAUGAGAUUUCUCUCGAAAAGUUAGAUAGAAUCAACAGAAAUAUGGCCCCCAAAAGUUGUCUUUGGAAAUCCCACCCAAAUUGUAAAGACCCGAUUUUUACUGUACACAUAUUGUCCGUUUUGGACACUAAAUUCUCACGGUUUUGUUUUUCUUAGGGCAACCCAUACCAUCCAAGAAAACGUGUAUGUAUUUUUUUAUACAAUCUAGUCUCUUUUCCGAAGCCAAGUUCAUAGAAAGUUUGUACUUUUGAUGAGAUUUCUCUCGAAAGUAUACAGAAUCAAAAGAAAUAUGGCCCCCAAAAAGUUGUUGGAACAAUCCGAUGGAUACUGUGGAAAUCCCAUCCAAAUCUGAGAGAAAAUCUUCUCUCGCGCGAACAUUUGCUGGCUGUUGGUGCAUUUAGUCUCUGAAUCUACUAGGUCACAAGUGCUUGUCCCAGGGCAGCUUUCAUCAAUGAAAUUAGCUUGACCAGUUGAGAUUUGAAUUUUAACCUUGCCUAUCAAAUUUUACUGAUAUUGUCGAUACGUAACUUCUAUAAAACUUGUCGAGUUAACUGAUGAUUUAAUUUACUAGUUGUUCAGAGUUUAUCAGUAUUGUCAGUAUUAAGUGACUGGUAAAAUUGAAUGCAUGUUGGUUCAUUAUGUUUGUCAGCGAGUGUGGGGAAAUUUUGUUUUGAUUAAGCUCAAAAGCUCAGUGUUGAAUCAAUUCACCUUUCAAUAGACAUCGAGUUUGCAUUGCUCUUUAUUGACCAUACUCUCGAGAUUUUAUCUAUUGCUGUCGGGGAUGCUUGUUCUUAUCUUUCCCUUUGCAGGCUGAAUCAGACUCCACUAGUUGAAUACUCGAUAAUAAGCAUGCUGAUAACAUUAAUCUUCGGAGAAUACUGAAUGAAUCCUUUGCUUCAUUUUCUUCUUGGAUUCAGAUAUCGUGUGAGAGCAUGAUCGCCUGGCUUUUCUCUUUAUACCCAUCAUUUAAUAAAAGACGCCCUUGAUUGAGGCUUAAAUGGCUCCACCUGCUUUCUCAUACGCUUAUAUUAGCUUAAUCAUGGGUUACCAUAUUUGUUCAAUUUGCAUAGGGUUGUUUAAUUAAUUAAGCCGAUACAUGUUCUAU
RNAcentral lists this long non-coding RNA (38670 nucleotides) under Eucalyptus grandis. Its description in RNAcentral is "long non-coding RNA (EGRA_LNC000544)". Lineage: Eukaryota; Viridiplantae; Streptophyta; Magnoliopsida; Myrtales; Myrtaceae. The record is from RNAcentral.